This is a non-coding RNA of Oreochromis niloticus (Nile tilapia), 707 nucleotides long. The record is from the annotation of a RefSeq genome assembly. NCBI's taxonomy places the organism in Eukaryota, Metazoa, Chordata, Actinopteri, Cichliformes, Cichlidae.
CAACCAAAGUGCUGUUUUGAUCCAGACAUUAAAAAUGCAGAAUUAUAUUUUCUUUAUAUUUUCCUCCAUUCCAUAAAAAGUCAGUGGUAUCAUUAAAGUUUGUAUAAUGUAUAAUAGUAUUAAUCCAAAUUAUUUUUCUUCUGACUUUGUGUCCCUUCUUGCCUUCUGUGUGUUGAGAGCAGAGAAAUCAUUUCCAUAGAGAGGAGGCUUUGCAUCAUCAGCUGAUCCUCCAGAGAACUGAGAAGGUUUAUAGUCCUGUGAGUUCAACACUGCAGGACUCACAUCUGUCAGUCAACACAGCAGAAAGCACAACCACCAUGACUCUCAUCACCAUCCUCAUCUGGACGCUGACCUGCUGCUGUUUUACAGGAUGCAGCGGUCAGGUGACUGUGACUCAACCUCCAGUAGUGACAUUUACUCCUGGAUCCACUGUCACUCUGACCUGUAGGACCAGCCAAGCUGUUUACAGAUCUUCUAAUGGUGAUGCCAUGUACUGGUAUCAACAUAAAUCUGGACAGGCUUCAAAGCUCCUAAUAAAAUAUGCAAAAACGCUUGAGUCAGGAACACCAUCUCGAUUUAAUGGCAGUGGAAGCAGCUCUGACUUCUCUAUGACCAUCAGUGGAGUUCAGGCUGAAGAUGCAGCAGUUUACUACUGUCAGAGUUUCCACAGCGGUGGGGUGUUCACACAGUGAUUUAUAGUCGUACAA